GACGAACGCUGGCGGCGUGCUUAACACAUGCAAGUCGAACGGAAAGGCCCUGCUUUUGUGGGGUGCUCGAGUGGCGAACGGGUGAGUAACACGUGAGUAACCUGCCCUUGACUUUGGGAUAACUUCAGGAAACUGGGGCUAAUACCGGAUAGGAGCUCCUGCUGCAUGGUGGGGGUUGGAAAGUUUCGGCGGUUGGGGAUGGACUCGCGGCUUAUCAGCUUGUUGGUGGGGUAGUGGCUUACCAAGGCUUUGACGGGUAGCCGGCCUGAGAGGGUGACCGGCCACAUUGGGACUGAGAUACGGCCCAGACUCCUACGGGAGGCAGCAGUGGGGAAUAUUGCACAAUGGGCGGAAGCCUGAUGCAGCAACGCCGCGUGCGGGAUGACGGCCUUCGGGUUGUAAACCGCUUCCGCCUGUGACGAAGCGUGAGUGAUGGUAAUGGGUAAAGAAGCACCGGCUAACUACGUG
RNAcentral lists this ribosomal RNA (468 nucleotides) under uncultured bacterium. RNAcentral's name for it is "partial 16S ribosomal RNA". It matches the Rfam family "Bacterial small subunit ribosomal RNA", at positions 28 to 507 of the family's 1533-position model. The record is from RNAcentral.